GACGAACGCUGGCGGCGUGCCUAAUACAUGCAAGUCGAACGGACAGACGCUGAUCUUGCUCCUUGGUCGUUUGCCGCGGACGUGUGUGUCACAUGUGUAUAACCUACUUGUCUUACUGGUAAAAUCACGGGAAUGCGGCUAUUAUACCGUAUAAUAUAUUGAACCGCAGUGGGCAUUGGUGAAAUUCGGCUGUGGUGGAUCGUAUAGCUGCAUCUGCGCUGGAUUAGGUAGUUGGUAAGGUAACGGCUUACCAAGGCAACGAUGCGUAGCCGACCUGAGAGGGUGAUCGGCCACACUGGAGCUGAGACACGGUCCAGACUCCUACGGGAGGCAGCAGUAGGGAAUCUUCCGCAAUGGGCGAAAGCCUGACGGAGCAACGCCGCGUGAGUGAUGAAGGUCUUCGGAUCGUAAAACUCUGUUAUUAGGGAAGAACAAAUGUGUAAGUAACUAUGCACGUAUUGACGGUACCUAAUCAGAAAGCCACGGCUAACUACGUG
This 497-nucleotide ribosomal RNA is filed under the name uncultured bacterium. RNAcentral describes it as "partial 16S ribosomal RNA". It matches the Rfam family "Bacterial small subunit ribosomal RNA", at positions 28 to 507 of the family's 1533-position model. The record is from RNAcentral.